GAUGAACGCUGGCGGCGUGCUUAACACAUGCAAGUCGAACGAGAAGUGAAGACGGAAACCUUCGGGCGGAAGGCUUUAUUUCGAGUGGCGGACGGGUGAGUAACGCGUGGGUAACCUGCCUCAUACAGGGGGAUAACAGUUGGAAACGACUGUUAAUACCGCAUAAGACCACAGCACCGCAUGGUGCGGGGGGAAAAGCUCCGGUGGUAUGAGAUGGACCCGCGUUCGAUUAGCCAGUUGGCGGGGUAACGGCCCACCAAAGCGACGAUCGAUAGCCGAUCUGAGAGCAUGACCGGCCACAUUGGGACUGAGACACGGCCCAAACUCCUACGGGAGGCAGCAGUGGGGAAUAUUGCACAAUGGGGGAAACCCUGAUGCAGCGACGCCGCGUGAGUGAAGAAGUAUUUCGGUAUGUAAAGCUCUAUCAGCAGGGAAGAAAAUGACGGUACCUGAGUAAGAAGCCCCGGCUAACUACGUG
This 478-nucleotide ribosomal RNA is filed under the name uncultured bacterium. RNAcentral's name for it is "partial 16S ribosomal RNA". It matches the Rfam family "Bacterial small subunit ribosomal RNA", at positions 28 to 507 of the family's 1533-position model. The record is from RNAcentral.